AGGCGCUUAGCUCAGAGGAAGAGCAUUUGCAUGACACGCAAAAGGUCGCUGGUUCAAGUCCAGCAGUGCCUA
Molecule: transfer RNA, 72 nt
Filed under: Thermoproteota archaeon
Lineage: Archaea; Thermoproteati; Thermoproteota
Description: Crenarchaeota archaeon tRNA-Val
Rfam family: tRNA
About the family: Transfer RNA (tRNA) molecules are approximately 80 nucleotides in length.
Source: RNAcentral